GGUUCGCGUCUCUCUGCUGCGGCGCGGGGACCGCUGUGCUCUCGGAAUCUUGUCGAUUGGCCUGGCUGCUGCCUACUACAGCGGAGAUAGCCUGGGCUGGAAGCUCUUCUACGUCACAGGCUGCCUGUUUGUGGCUGUGCAGAACUUGGAGGACUGGGAGCCGUCUUCGACAAGAGCACAGGGAAGGUUGUUUUGAAGACGUUCAGCCUCUACAAGAAGCUGCUGACUCUUUUCAGAGCUGGCCACGACCAGGGUGAGUUGUGGGGAGCGUGGGGACAUGGGACACAGUGGGCCACAGAGGCGGCACACUUGGGCGUCUGGGUCUGGGUGACCCAUGGGGCCUAGAGGGGGGCCUGGAAGCGCCUUUAGUCCAAGCUCGCCUGCUUGGUGACCAGGGUUGUGUCCUGCCCGCUGGACGCAGGAUCCCAUGGAUACGCCCCACCUGCUCACCUGCUCAGCGGGGUCCUAGAGCCUCCUGGGUUCUUUAGAGGUUUGGCCCCUGGGGAGAGUGGGAGGAACAGGGGUCUGGAGGAGCAAGGGUCUGGCAGAGCAGGG
RNAcentral lists this small RNA (555 nucleotides) under Pongo abelii (Sumatran orangutan). RNAcentral describes it as "retained intron". Lineage: Eukaryota; Metazoa; Chordata; Mammalia; Primates; Hominidae. The record is from RNAcentral.